GUGCUCGCUUCGGCAGCACAUAUACUAAAAUUGGAACGAUACAGAGAAGAUUAGCAUGGCCCCUGCACAAGGAUGGCUUCUAUUACUCAACAUUUAAGUUUGU
This is a small nuclear RNA of Cynocephalus volans (Philippine flying lemur), 103 nucleotides long. Lineage: Eukaryota; Metazoa; Chordata; Mammalia; Dermoptera; Cynocephalidae. The record is from RefSeq and is a predicted model, not a curated record.